This 253-nucleotide ribosomal RNA is filed under the name uncultured bacterium. Its description in RNAcentral is "partial 16S ribosomal RNA". It matches the Rfam family "Bacterial small subunit ribosomal RNA", at positions 524 to 776 of the family's 1533-position model. The record is from RNAcentral.
UACGUAGGCAGCGAGCGUUGUUCGGAGUUACUGGGCGUAAAGAGUGCGUAGGCGGUUUUCUAAGUUUGGUGUGAAAUCUCCCGGCUCAACUGGGAGGGUGCGCCGAAGACUGGAAGGCUUGAGUAUGGGAGAGGUAAGCGGAAUUCCUGGUGUAGCGGUGAAAUGCGUAGAUAUCAGGAGGAACACCUGCGGUGUAGACGGCUUACUGGACCAUAACUGACGCUGAGGCACGAAAGCGUGGGUAGCAAACAGA